CUAGCUGGAGUGGGUACUCUUUUAAUUUGCAGUCAUUAAAAAAAAAAAAAAUUUCCUAGCAACUAAAUGCAUUUACACAUUUAUUUCAUUUAAUAUCUAGUUCUGUGUUCUUCCAUAGAUUUCAAAUAUUAAGUAUUAUGCUUUUAGACUCAUAAACCAUGCUAGUUAACCAAGAAAUGAGCUGAUUAGAUGACUUACAUGUAACUAAAUUAUCUUUAAAAAAUGCAUCUUCUUAUCUCUAUAGUAAAACUUGUCUUCUCUGUCAAUUGCUUUGAUGAAUUGAAUGGUAGCUAUUCACUCACUGGUAUAUUUAAUAACAAGACUAAAACCUGAAAUCUAAGGGUUCAGAUAUGGCUUCAGGUGAGACAAAUCAAGAGUUCUGGAGUAUUUGGAAGCCCCAAAACAAAAAAAAUCACAGUCAAAGUACAUAUCGAUCUUAACGAAUUUCUUGAACAGGCAGAUCAAAAGCCAUUGAUGACUUCUGAUUAACCAGAGGUUGAAAGUGAAGCAGAGGGUGACCAUAGACUUCGUUUUUGGAGACUUUUAAAGUAGCUUUGGAAGUCAUGCUUGCAUAAUGCUGACAUACACAGAUACAUAUAAUCAUAAAUAAAAGUCAUAUAUGCAACUAAAGUUGGGCACCUAUAAAAACUAUCACUGGAUGAACUAUGUUGAUAUUGCCAUUCCUGGAGUUGAAAAUGCUACUCCAUCAUAUUACAAUUCUUUAGGAAAAAUAUCUUCUUGUUCUUGUGUGCUUUUAAAUUUAUCUUUCAGUUUUUAAUUGUAGCUUGGAUUUUGUUUAGUCUGUAUGACAUCAAAACUGCAGGUGGUUCUAAAAUUAUCAAUCUCUGUUUCUCUUUUAAGGAUAUAACUGCUUAGCUCUUUCCUUGAAUGAUACAUGAACCUAAUCCAAGUACAUCAAAUAUCUUGCCUUGCUAGUCGAUUAAAAAAGGGUGUAGGGUUUGUGAUACCCAAGAAUGGCAAUAUGGCCUAUCGGUCUAGAGCAAUCAUGUCCACUUAGGUCUGGAUAACCACCAAACCUUUUGAAAACCACUAAACUUGCUUCAUGGAUUUGGUGAAACUUUCUCAAGGAUAUCAAUCAUUAAGCAGUUCCUUUUUCUUUGCAUGUUAACAUAAAAGAUAGUCUUUGUACAGGGACCUAACCUAACUAAGUGACACAAAACUUCAUAUAUUAGGUUAUCACUUAGCAUUUUAGCUUCUGGGUUUCCUUUCCUAUAAUUUAUUUGAAUUGCAUGGUUUGCUUUGGUGACUGUUUGAUAUUGCAUCAAGUUUUUUUUUUUUUUUUCUGUUCUUGGUUCUGUAAAGGCUUGUUUAUUGCUUGCACUAACUCGUGGGAUGUCACCAUCAUAUAGUGUGGCUGUCAGUUCAACAUGUGAAGGCUGAUCGGGAUGCAGAGUCUAUGGAGUUGGCAGAAGACACUUACCCUGGUGAUAUUGUCCUAACUUCUCAAGUCACAUUUGAUAGGUUGUGGUCAUUAAUAGUGUCGUAUUGGUUACAAUAUAAUGUCAUCGCAGUAUAUCCUUGUAGCAGUCAUUAAACUCUUACCAGGCUCUGUUUCUAUCUCUAGGGAAAUAAGAGGAAAAAGUUGGUGAAUGAUUAGUAUGUUCGCAAAAGCUGCCACAUACCUUAGUAGUAAGAUUUAGAUAAUUGAUGAGGAUAUGAAUCUUUAUUUUUUGGUUGAAGUGUCAUCACAUGUAUUAGCAUUUCUCUUCUCCUUUAAGAUGGCAUCUAAAUUUGUCCAAAAUCAUUCCACAUUUCUACAUGAAAAUUUCAGGUCCCAGUAAGUGGCCAAUAUCAAAUCAUAUAAUGUUAAGAUUAGCUGUAUUGGCAUCAAAUACACGAGGAUCUGUUCAGUUACUGACUUAGCCGAGAUCACUUGAGAAUAUAGUGCAAUCCAAGUCAGCACGCAGAUCGUAAUGGUGCCCAUCAAGAUCGUAUGAAUACAACGGAACACCUACAACCUUACCGGAGGAACUUCCUGCUUGAGGAAGCCGAUGCUUCGAUCAGGAUGAGACAAUUAAAGCAGGAUAAUCAUGUUGUGCCGAAGGAACAUGUCAGAAGAUUGGACGUCGGGCCGGUGGAUCAGUCGACAUAUCGACAGAAGGCUUCGGGCCGUAAACUCGGGCAUCGGGCCAAGAAGAGCGGGUAUUGUGCCAAGGAUAUCGGAGUUGCGGAGUCAACUGGCCGAUUGGGCAAUAGGCUGCACGAGAGGACGAUGCGCCGAAGAAUCGGACGAAGCGUCGAGGGACCAAUGACAUGUCGGACAACUUGGUUAAUUGCUUAGGAUUAAUUGUCUCGA
Molecule: long non-coding RNA, 2317 nt
Organism: Musa acuminata AAA Group (dessert banana)
Lineage: Eukaryota; Viridiplantae; Streptophyta; Magnoliopsida; Zingiberales; Musaceae
Exons: 3
Source: RefSeq, a predicted model, not a curated record